AGUGAACGCUGGCGGCGUGCUUAACACAUGCAAGUCGUACGAGAACGGAUUAUAGCUUGCUAUAAUUGUCAGCUAAGUGGCGCACGGGUGAGUAAUGUAUAGAUAACCUGCCCUCUAGAAAGGAAUAACAGUUGGAAACGACUGCUAAUGCCCUAUAUGCCUUUAAUACAUAAGUAUGCAAGGGAAACGCUUUAGUGCUAGAGGAUGGGUCUGUAUGGUAUCAGCUUGUUGGUGAGGUAAUGGCUCACCAAGGCUAUGACGCCUAACUGGUUUGAGAGGAUGAUCAGUCACACUGGAACUGAGACACGGUCCAGACUCCUACGGGAGGCAGCAGUGGGGAAUAUUGCACAAUGGACGAAAGUCUGAUGCAGCAACGCCGCGUGGAGGAUGACACAUUUCGGUGCGUAAACUCCUUUUAUAUAGGAAGAUAAUGACGGUACUAUAUGAAUAAGCACCGGCUAGCUCCGUGCCAGCCGCCGCCGUAA
RNAcentral lists this ribosomal RNA (485 nucleotides) under uncultured bacterium. RNAcentral describes it as "partial 16S ribosomal RNA". It matches the Rfam family "Bacterial small subunit ribosomal RNA", at positions 29 to 523 of the family's 1533-position model. The record is from RNAcentral.